CUACGGGUCGCACCAGUGGGGAAUAUUGGGCAAUGGGCGAAAGCCUGACCCAGCAACGCCGCGUGAAGGAAGAAGGUUUUCGGAUCGUAAACUUCUAUCCCAGGUGAAGAUAAUGACGGUAGCCUGGAAGGAAGCCCCGGCUAACUACGUGCCAGCAGCCGCGGUAAUACGUAGGGGGCAAGCGUUGUCCGGAAUGAUUGGGCGUAAAGGGCGCGUAGGCGGCCUUCUAAGUCCGAUGUGAAAGUCCUGCUUUUAAGGUGGGAAUUGCAUUGGAAACUGGAGGGCUUGAGUGCAGGAGAGGUAAGUGGAAUUCCCGGUGUAGCGGUGAAAUGCGUAGAGAUCGGGAGGAACACCAGUGGCGAAGGCGACUUACUGGACUGUAACUGACGCUGAGGCGCGAAAGUGUGGGGAGCAAACAGGAUUAGAUACCCGGGUAGUC
This 439-nucleotide ribosomal RNA is filed under the name uncultured bacterium. RNAcentral describes it as "partial 16S ribosomal RNA". It matches the Rfam family "Bacterial small subunit ribosomal RNA", at positions 339 to 795 of the family's 1533-position model. The record is from RNAcentral.